Molecule: ribosomal RNA, 253 nt
Filed under: uncultured bacterium
Lineage: Bacteria
Description: partial 16S ribosomal RNA
Rfam family: Bacterial small subunit ribosomal RNA
Source: RNAcentral
UACAGAGGGGGCAAGCGUUAUUCGGAAUUAUUGGGCGUAAAGGGCGCGUAGGCGGCUUUGCAAGUGGCGGGUGAAAGCCCUCGGCUUAACCGAGGAACUGCCUGUGAGACUGUGAGGCUUGAGACCGGGAGAGGUGAGUGGAAUUCCCAGUGUAGCGGUGAAAUGCGUAGAUAUUGGGAGGAACACCGGUGGCGAAGGCGGGUCUCUGGGCCGAUACUGACGCUGAGGAGCGAAAGCGUGGGGAGCAAACAGG